This 107-nucleotide ribosomal RNA is filed under the name Echinops telfairi (small Madagascar hedgehog). The record is from RNAcentral. Lineage: Eukaryota; Metazoa; Chordata; Mammalia; Afrosoricida; Tenrecidae.
GUCUACGGCCAUACCACCAUGAACACGCCUGACCUUGGACGAUGUCAGUAGCUAGGCAGGGUCAGGGUGGUUGGUAUUUGGAUGGGAGACAAACAGUGCUAUGGGGA